Molecule: long non-coding RNA, 795 nt
Organism: Chenopodium quinoa (quinoa)
Lineage: Eukaryota; Viridiplantae; Streptophyta; Magnoliopsida; Caryophyllales; Amaranthaceae
Exons: 3
Source: RefSeq, a predicted model, not a curated record
AAAAAUGGGUCAAGCCCAAACUAUCUAAUGACAAAAUGAAACCCUAAUAGUGUUUCUUAAAUUACCUCAGCCGUCACUCACUAUUUCAUUUCCUCUUUCACUCAAUUCUCUUUCUCUCUCCUCUCUCUUCUCUCUCUUAUUUUCAAUUUUUUCCAUUAAAUUUGCCGAUAGAAGCUCGUGAAUUUGAUUAUAAUAAGACCGCUGACGACGCCACCAAGCAUCGUCGGACGCUGGUCUUUUUCAGAGCUCAAGUUUGAAGGAACGCAAGGAGUAAGUUUAUGAGAUCGGUGCAUGCAUGCGGUGGGGGCAUCAUCUUUGGCAUGAACUCACCAAAAGGGCCAUUUCAAGACUGCGUACGUUAGUGUUCAUCAUCACCACCAAGACGAGUGCACGAGGAUGAGCUAGGACAAAGAAGAGGGAGCUCCCCUGCUGCCAGCGCACCAGGGUGGCGCGGGCGCGCCUGCCAGGGCCCCUGUUUCGUACCCAUUUUCUCGCGGCCGCGCCUUUCCCUUGUUGCGACCGCAUAUUCCGAGGUUUCUUUUGGACGAUUUAACUAACUUUUCUAUUGUUAGUUUUACUAUAUAUAGUUUUUCCUUCUAUUUUAGAGAGAGUAGGAUUACAAUAGAAUUAGAAUUAGUUUUAGAUCAAAUUAGAGAAAUAUUUAGAGAGAAAUUCUAGGUUUUAGUGAGAAUUUCUUGGUGGAUUGUUGAUGAUUGAAGAUUUCUCCGUUUCCUUUGAUAUUUGAUCAAGUUUGUAAGGAUUCUUUUUCUUUAAAUUCAAUCUUUAGUUUGAUUU